This 254-nucleotide ribosomal RNA is filed under the name uncultured bacterium. RNAcentral's name for it is "partial 16S ribosomal RNA". It matches the Rfam family "Bacterial small subunit ribosomal RNA", at positions 524 to 776 of the family's 1533-position model. The record is from RNAcentral.
UACGGGGGGGGCAAGCGUUGUUCGGAAUUACUGGGCGUAAAGGGCUCGUAGGCGGCCCUCUCAGUCGGAUGUGAAAUCCCCAGGCUCAACUUGGGAACGGCAUCCGAUACUGGAGGGCUUGAAUUCGGGAGAGGGAUGCAGAAUUCCAGGUGUAGCGGUGAAAUGCGUAGAUAUCUGGAGGAACACCGGUGGCGAAGGCGGCAUCCUGGACCACGACUGACGCUGAGUGAGCGAAAGCCAGGGGAGCAAACGGG